UACGUAGGGUGCAAGCGUUGUCCGGAAUUAUUGGGCGUAAAGAGCUCGUAGGCGGUUUGUCGCGUCUGCUGUGAAAAUCCAGGGCUUAACCCUGGACCUGCAGUGGGUACGGGCAGACUAGAGUGCGGUAGGGGAGAUCGGAAUUCCUGGUGUAGCGGUGAAAUGCGCAGAUAUCAGGAGGAACACCGGUGGCGAAGGCGGAGCUCUGGGCCGUAACUGACGCUGAGGAGCGAAAGCAUGGGGAGCGAACAGG
This 253-nucleotide ribosomal RNA is filed under the name uncultured bacterium. RNAcentral's name for it is "partial 16S ribosomal RNA". It matches the Rfam family "Bacterial small subunit ribosomal RNA", at positions 524 to 776 of the family's 1533-position model. The record is from RNAcentral.